CUCUUCCUAGCAAAAGAGGGUAGGGGAUGGGAAGAGAAAGAACCCAAAAAGGAAGAGGGAAAAUUGGAGGUGUUCCUUCCGAUUCAGUGUUUUAUGAAUUAAAAUUGUGUAAUAUGUAGAGCAGAUUCAUGGGUCGAAGUUAUGGUGCGUUCAUUUCUUAACUCAAUUCUCGAUUUGGGUGCUUGUUUUUGCUGCAAUUCUUCCUCAUAAUUGGUGGGUCGUGAAUGCUAGGGAAAGGGAUUGAGAAGAUGGGGAACACCCUACUGCUCAAUUGAAUUAUGAGAACACGAAAAGUGUGGUGAACCAAUACUUGAGUAUUCUGUGGGUUUUGUUGAUACUCAUCUUGUGCCUUUCGUCUCCCCAGUAGAGGUCAUAAUACAAUGAAUGAUGAGGAAGUGUUGAACACACCAAGGACAUCUGUGAAGUUCUCUUGGAACCAUGGUGGCAAGCAAGUGGCUAUCAUUGGGUCGUGGGAUAACUGGGAGACAAGGGAGAUCUUGCAGAGCAUAGGGAAAGAUUUUAUCGUUGCCAAAACGCUUCCCUCGGGGAUCUACCAUUACCGAUUCAUUGUUGAUGGAUGGUUGACACAUGCUCCUGAUUUGCCAUGGGUUUGUGAUGAUUCAGGAAAUUCUUACAAUAUUCUUGACUUGAUGACACCUGUCUUGGAAUUUCCCGAAAGUCUGUCCGAGUUUGAAUUUCCUCCAUCCCCACCAUCUACUUACGACAACCAAUACUUCAACGACGAUGAUUUCAGUAGGCCUCCACCGGAUCUACCACCACAACUGCGAGAGACUAUUUUGAACGAAUCAUCUCGCUGCAUAAGUGGUCAGCAGUCUGGCAUGCAGCCUCGACACACCGAGUUAAAUCAUUUAUACCAAAAUAACGUUGGAGAUUGCCUUAAAAGAUGACUUUGAGAAAAGAGAUGAGACGCUCAACCCAUCUUUACAAAUACGAGAAAUCACUUAUGACUGCCUGGUUUUGGAUCAAAUCAGCUCCUAGGAUAUAUGUCUCUGCUUUUCCCUGGAUCAUGUCAUCACCAUUCGCUCUAUGGCAAUGGAGUUCUUCGUCUUUUUUCAACGUUCCGUUCUUUCCGAACUGAUUUCUGCCUCCUGUAAAUUAAUUGAGUUUCGAGUUUUAUGCUUCUCUUCGUUUAAUUGUUUGUGUUCUUGAAAUUAAUAUCUCGAACAUUCUGCAGAGGCACAUCAGUUCUUGCUCCAGCAGGAUCAAGAAAACAGCUUGGUGUAUUGAAAUGGGAAUGGAAAAGAAUCCAAACUCAUAUGAGCUGACAGACUAACAACAAAAUCGAACUGAGUUACAACAGUUUGUAUUAGAUUCUGGAAGAACAUUACAACUCAAAAUAGGCAUAAACAGUGGGUUUUUGGUGGGCUGUAGAGAAGCAGCAGAGGAUCUGAGGUUACUGUCAUGGUUGAUCAGAUUCAUCUCACAGGUACUUUAACCCAGCCAUUGGCAAAAGCUAUGGCUAAGAUCACGAAAGGCGUCGACAUGCCGAAGAUGAUGAUAUAAGGAAGAGGAGUCUUCAUGGGAUUUUCCCCUUCCCUCUCCCCUGCUGUCUGCCAAUACCUGCUCCAAAUUCAACCACAUUUCCAUCUUAAAGCCCUGAUGAUAUCUUCUUCUACUUGAAAAACAACUCCAAUUGGUGAAAUCCCACGCCGGUUUUAAAACCUUGAGAGAAUAUCGGCCAGCAGUGGGAUUAGGCCAUUACAAAUUGAUACAGAAAAGGGAAAGAAUUUCUUACUGCUCUGGCUCUUCUUCUUUGGUUAUGAACUUCUUCUUCCCUCCCUUCUUGACCUCGGCGUCGCCACCACCUGAAAAACAACAUCAGCAGCUGAAAAACAGCAAGAGUGAGCUGCAGAUCCAAGCGAAAGUAGAAGGGCCUUUACCUGAAUUUGCAAGAAGUUUGAACUGAGAAGCUCUUGGCUUUGGCUUGGGCGGCGAGAAGGUGGUGCAGGGAAGAGGAGGGAAGAAGGGAGAUGGGUUUUGUUGGAGUGGGAAUUUGAUGGUGGUAAGGGAAGAAGAAAGAGGGAAUUUGGCGGCCAUUGUUGAAGGAAGAGUGAGCUUUGUUUGGGCAUUUGUCGUUGGGGAUCACAUAUAUCAAUGGAGAUUUGGAUAUGGAUGGUGUGGUGUGGCACUCAUAUUAUUAUUAGCCAAUGCGUUACAUGACGACAGCCAAGACCUCUAUGGCCCCAUCUUCACUUUUCAUUGUAAUUUGUGGUCACAUUUCUAUGGAGCCAUGAAUGUACUUUUAUGGUGGUUGAAUUGACUCAACCCUUUUUACCCUUUCUA
Cucurbita maxima (winter squash) is the source of this 2304-nucleotide RNA transcript. It is a transcript of the gene named SNF1-related protein kinase regulatory subunit beta-2-like, with no coding region annotated. The transcript has 7 exons. NCBI's taxonomy places the organism in Eukaryota, Viridiplantae, Streptophyta, Magnoliopsida, Cucurbitales, Cucurbitaceae. The record is from RefSeq and is a predicted model, not a curated record.